AUUGAACGCUGGCGGCAUGCCUUACACAUGCAAGUCGAACGGCAGCACGGGAGCAAUCCUGGUGGCGAGUGGCGAACGGGUGAGUAAAGUAUCGGAACGUGCCCAGUCGUGGGGGAUAACGUAGCGAAAGUUAAGCUACUACCGCAUACGACCUAUGGAUGAAAGCGGGGGAUCGCAAGACCUCGCGCGAUUGGAGCGGCCGAUAGCAGAUUAGGUAGUUGGGGGGGUAAAGGCUCACCACGCCGACGAACUGUAGCUGGUCUGAGAGGACAACCAGCCCCACUGGGACUGCGAGACGGCCGAGACUCCUACCGGAGGCAGCAGUGGGGAAUUUUGGCCAAUGGGCGAAAGCCUGAUCCAGCCAUGCCGCGUGCAGGAUGAAGGCCUUCGGGUUGUAAACUGCUUUUGUACGGAACGAAAAGGUUUGGCCUAAUAAGCUGAGCUCAUGACGGUACCGUAAGAAUAAGCACCGGCUAACUACGUGCCAGCCGCCGCGGUAA
This 500-nucleotide ribosomal RNA is filed under the name uncultured bacterium. RNAcentral's name for it is "partial 16S ribosomal RNA". It matches the Rfam family "Bacterial small subunit ribosomal RNA", at positions 29 to 523 of the family's 1533-position model. The record is from RNAcentral.